Molecule: ribosomal RNA, 514 nt
Filed under: Rhodothermales bacterium
Lineage: Bacteria; Pseudomonadati; Rhodothermota; Rhodothermia; Rhodothermales
Description: partial 23S ribosomal RNA
Rfam family: Bacterial large subunit ribosomal RNA
Source: RNAcentral
AGAAAAGCGAGUAAGGGCACACGGUGGAUGCCUAGGCAUACAGAGGCGAAGAAGGACGUGUAAAGCUGCGAUAAGCUGCGGGGAGUUGCAUAAGAACUGUGAUCCGUGGAUUUCCGAAUGGGGCAACCCACCUUAAUUUAUUAGGGUACCACGCUUCGGCGUGGGGCAUACCCCCCGAACUGAAACAUCUAAGUAGGGGGAGGAAAAGAAAACAAAAGUGAUUUUCCGAGUAGCGGCGAGCGAAAGGGAAAGAGCCCAAACCAUAGCGAUAUGGGGUUGUAGGACCGCUGGAAAUGAAAGACGAGCGAACGGGAACGCGAUGGAAAGCGCGGACAGAGAAGGUGAAAUUCCUGUACCGGCAAGCGAGUCGAGUAAGGAGCGGAAUCCUGAGUACAACGGGACACGUGAAAUCCUGUUGGAAGCAGGCGGGACCAUCCGCCAAGGCUAAAUAAGUAAGAGUGAGCGAUAGAGAAGAGUACCGUGAGGGAAAGGUGAAAAGAACCGCGCAAGCGGA